This 1116-nucleotide long non-coding RNA is filed under the name Corvus moneduloides (New Caledonian crow). RNAcentral describes it as "lncRNA (ENSCMUG00000019205.1)". Lineage: Eukaryota; Metazoa; Chordata; Aves; Passeriformes; Corvidae. The record is from RNAcentral.
AUGGAAAGUGGAGAAGCCAGAGCUGCCUCUCAGCUUUCCGCAGUCCUCCAGGAGAAUCCUGUGUGGGAAGCACCCUGGGAACAGGGUUUCUGUGCCAGGGCAGGGGAAUUCAGAGCCCUUUCCUCCUGCGUGGGCCAAGGCUCUGGCCCUGGCCCUUUGCAAAGGCCCUGCAGCUGCCAGAGGGGCCUUUUUGGCUCAGCUGAGAGCAGUCCUGCUGCAAGGCUGUCCUCGAGCUGCUUGGGCUGCACAUGUGCCCAGGGAAUGCUCAUUGCUUGCAGUCUCAGGUGCUGUGGGUGUGCAGGUGUAAGUACUGCAGGAGGGAACAGCUCUGCUGGGGGCAGUUCUCUUUUUCUUGGUGUGUUUUUUAUGUUGAAUGGACGUUCCCUGCCAGCUCUGGGCAGAGCUCUGUACCUGUAUGUGCCACUUGUCUGUGGCAUUGUGGCUCAGGAGGUGGCCAAGGGGAGCUUGGCCGAGCUGUGGGCAGAGGAAUGGCCAUCAGGCCAGGCUGGGGGGUCAGCGGCCGGUCAGUUGCGUUGCGUGGCCGCGGCUCUGGAGGCUUGUGUGGGAGCGUGUGCAGGGCUGGAAGGCUGGGGCUGCCGCCGCUGUGUCCCAGAGCCGGGAAGGCCGGGGCUGGCCCGGCCCUGGCCCGGCCCCGCCAGCUCUGCCAGCUGCCGGCGGGGACACAAAGGGCAGCUCCGAGCUGCGGCCGCUGCGCUGCGGCCGCACAAACGCAGCGCCCGCAGAGCUCCAGGGCAAGGUGCUGGCCCUGGCUCGGGGCUGGGCCGGGGCCAGCGGCAGAAAAUCAACUUGCAGCUUGGGCCCCGCAGCAGGGAGGAGCAGCAAUUGCUGGCUGAGAGAGACUCUUGCCAAGGGCCUGCGGGGCCGGGCCCCAGGGAACGGCUUCCCGCUGCCCGAGGGCAGGCUGAGAUGGGAUGUGGGGCAGCAAUGGUUCCCUGGCAGGGCGCUCAGGGCCUGGCACAGGCUGGCCCCAGAAGCUGCGGCUGCCCCCGCAUCCCUGCAAGUGUCCCAGGCCGGCUCGGCCAUUGGGGCUUCCUGCCCAGGAGGGCUGGGCUGGGCUGGGCUGGGGCUGCUGAGGGCGGGAUGGGCUCUGGCUGA